AGCGGCAGGCCUAACACAUGCAAGUCGAGGGGUAACAGGGUUUUCGGACCGCUGACGACCGGCGCACGGGUGCGUAACGCGUAUGCAACCUACCUUUAACAGGAAGAUAGCCCCGAGAAAUCGGGAUUAAUACUCCAUAACAAUAAGAAAUGGCAUCAUUUUUUAUUUAAAGCUUUGGCGGUUAAAGAUGGGCAUACGUGACAUUAGUUAGUUGGUGAGGUAACGGCUCACCAAGACUACGAUGUCUAGGGGUUCUGAGAGGAUUAACCCCCACACUGGUACUGAGACACGGACCAGACUCCUACGGGAGGCAGCAGUGAGGAAUAUUGGUCAAUGGGCGAAAGCCUGAACCAGCCAUGCCGCGUGCAGGAUGACGGCGCUAUGCGUUGUAAACUGCUUUUCUACAGGAAGAAACCUACCCUCGUGAGGGUAGCUGCCGGUACUGUAGGAAUAAGCACCGGCUAACUCCGUGCCAGCAGCCGCAGUAAUACGGAGGGUGCAAGCGUUAUCCGGAUUUAUUGGGUUUAAAGGGUACGUAGGCGGAAUAAUAAGUCAGUGGUGAAAUCCUGCGGCUCAACCGUAGAACUGCCAUUGAUACUGUUAUUCUUGAAUGUAGUUGAGGUAGGCGGAAUGUGUAAUGUAGCGGUGAAAUGCUUAGAUAUUACACAGAACACCGAUUGCGAAGGCAGCUUACUAAACUAUAAUUGACGCUGAUGUACGAAAGCGUGGGGAGCGAACAGGAUUAGAUACCCUGGUAGUCCACGCCGUAAACGAUGAUCACUCGUUGUUUGUGAUAUACAAUAAGCAACUGAGCGAAAGCAUUAAGUGAUCCACCUGGGGAGUACGUUCGCAAGAAUGAAACUCAAAGGAAUUGACGGGGGCCCGCACAAGCGGAGGACAUGUG
RNAcentral lists this ribosomal RNA (904 nucleotides) under uncultured bacterium. RNAcentral's name for it is "bacterial SSU rRNA". It matches the Rfam family "Bacterial small subunit ribosomal RNA", at positions 38 to 943 of the family's 1533-position model. The record is from RNAcentral.